AUUGAACGCUGGCGGCAGGCCUAACACAUGCAAGUCGAGCGGCAUAGGGAAGUAGCUUGCUACUUUGCCGGCGAGCGGCGGACGGGUGAGUAACGUCUGGGAAACUGCCUGAUGGAGGGGGAUAACUACUGGAAACGGUAGCUAAUACCGCGCGAUGUCGCAAGACCAAAGAGGGGGACCUCCGGGCCUCUCGCCAUCAGAUGGUCCCAGAUGGGAUUAGCUAGUUGGUGGGGUAAAGGCUCACCUAGGCGACGAUCCCUAGCUGGUCUGCGAGGAUGACCAGCCACACUGGGACUGAGACACGGCCCAGACUCCGACGGGAGGCAGCAGGGGGGAAUAUUGCACAAUGGGCGCAAGCCUGAUGCAGCCAUGCCGCGUGUGUGAAGAAGGCCUUAGGGUUGUAAAGCACUGUCAGCGGGGAGGAAGGGUAUAGGCUUAAUACGUUUAUACAUAGACGUUACCCGCAGAAGAAGCACCGGCUAACUCCGUGCCAGCAGCCGCCGUAAGAC
RNAcentral lists this ribosomal RNA (509 nucleotides) under uncultured bacterium. Its description in RNAcentral is "bacterial SSU rRNA". It matches the Rfam family "Bacterial small subunit ribosomal RNA", at positions 29 to 526 of the family's 1533-position model. The record is from RNAcentral.